Molecule: long non-coding RNA, 403 nt
Organism: Hippoglossus stenolepis (Pacific halibut)
Lineage: Eukaryota; Metazoa; Chordata; Actinopteri; Pleuronectiformes; Pleuronectidae
Exons: 3
Source: RefSeq, a predicted model, not a curated record
AGUCAUCACCCGCCCUACUCUCCCUCUGAUUGGCUAGUAAUCCUGAUUGGCGCCAGAGCUAUGUAUUGGUGUUUAGGAAUGAGGACCGUCAGAGUUAGGGUCAGGGGUUAGCCAAUCAGAACCAGAGUAGGGGGCGGGCAUUGUCAUCAUCGCGGGAAUCCUGACACGCUCCACAACAGCUGAUGCUCCUGGACAGGUUGGAGUAACCAGCAUCCCUCCACUCACCAACCCUCCAUCAUCCCUGCCAACCAGCCACCCAUCAGCCAACUGGCCGCUUGUCCUCUCAAACAACCCUCCACCAGUCCUGCCAUGCAGCCUCCCAGUGCCAUGUUGAAUCAGGAAGCAACCAUUCAAUCACUGGAGGAGAGAAGUAGAUGAAAAGUAGAUGAAGUAGUGAAGAAGG